RNAcentral lists this long non-coding RNA (237 nucleotides) under Lathyrus oleraceus (garden pea). RNAcentral describes it as "Pisum sativum (pea) long non-coding RNA (PSAT_LNC020006)". Lineage: Eukaryota; Viridiplantae; Streptophyta; Magnoliopsida; Fabales; Fabaceae. The record is from RNAcentral.
UCAACCCUCAAGGCACGAACAGAGCAUUCGCCGGGUUGAUUGACACCAAGAAGUGGGAUCGGUUAAUUUCCCCACUUGAGCAUUAUGAUAUUGCAACGGUGCGUGAGUUCUAUGCGAACGCACUUCCAGAUGAUGACGAGCCAUUUACUUGGACAUCUAGAGUGGCCGGUCGUCCUGUUGCUUUUGAUCGGGAUGCUAUUAACCGCGUCCUUGGUGAACCGCUCCAACUGGGAGCCG